This 353-nucleotide transfer-messenger RNA is filed under the name Ruegeria spongiae. It matches the Rfam family "Alphaproteobacteria transfer-messenger RNA". Rfam says of the family: Bacterial tmRNA, also known as 10Sa RNA or SsrA, is named for its dual tRNA and mRNA-like properties. Its role is to liberate the mRNA from a stalled ribosome. Lineage: Bacteria; Pseudomonadati; Pseudomonadota; Alphaproteobacteria; Rhodobacterales; Roseobacteraceae. The record is from RNAcentral.
GCACUUGAAAUUGGCAGUGUAUACAGCCUAUAUCUGUAGCGUCCCUCGGGACUAUGGACAUAAAGGCGCUUGUAAUAAGCGGGCCGGACGGGGGUGCGAUUCCCCCCAGCUCCACCAAAAACCCUUUCAUUUGAAGGGCAUUGAGGGGCUGAAUUAGGGUCGACGGACGUCUAAAGAAGUUAGCUUUGUCUCGGCUGUCUGCCACCGUUAUCGGCGAAAACAGUACAAUUGCAAAUGACAAUCGUGCUCCGGUUGCAGUUGCUGCGUAAGCAGUAGCAAGACCGAAACUUAAGCCCUUGCGCCUAGCCGCGUAAGGCGGGGUUCGUAGGCACCUGGCAACAGAAGCCUGCACU